This is a long non-coding RNA of Cygnus olor (mute swan), 755 nucleotides long. RefSeq lists it as uncharacterized. The transcript has 4 exons. The record is from RefSeq and is a predicted model, not a curated record. NCBI's taxonomy places the organism in Eukaryota, Metazoa, Chordata, Aves, Anseriformes, Anatidae.
CGGCUGAGGACAGACAUUUGUGUCUGCAGCCAGAGCUUCAGCUUUUUCUUUCCGUGGAGCUGCUGAACUGCUUCUGACAAUUACUUUAAGUGGAGGGCAGUGUUUACACUUCCCAGCUUCAAUGAGGUUUCUCCAGCUCAUUGUGGUAUUCAUUGCUGUAUUAAUUGCACAAGUACAGAAGCUUGUGGUAUUGUGCAAAAUGCUAAUAACAGAUCUUAAUGACUGUGUACUUCCCUCUCCUUCUCCAGUCUGUGUCUUAUUGAUGUUUUCAUUAAACAGUCCAAACAGCGAGGCUGGAUGCACACAGCAAAAUGUCUCCACCUCAUCAGAGAAAAAGACAAAUCCUUAAAGAAAUUGGCAGCUGGAGGAUGCCAGACACCUCGCUCUGAGGACAAAUAAAAGCACUCUGAAUAAUCGUGUAAGAAUUAAUAGGAGGGAUGGCAGAGGGAGAGACUGCGCCUUCCUCCACACAGCUCACGGAAAGGCAGCUAGCAGUAGGACAUUAAAAGGUCUGUGCGUUUCGGCUUAUGUUGCCAAGGGAACUUGGCAGUAUUGGUGGGAAGCUAGGCUGAUGUCCCCCUUCUAGCUGCACAGGACUCCAGCAAGCCUGAUGGCUGCACAGUUCACGAUCGCAGGGAAAAAGGACCUUUUCUUGCCUCCUUCCCCCAACGCUUUUCCCCGUUAAUAUGGUCAAGUGGUGUUGAUUUCCAAACCACACCUGAGAUGUGGAAGACAAGUGUAGGAGGGAGACAGAC